GGCUUANCCAUAGUACGCUUUGGAAACUGUUUAACUUGAGUGCAAGAGGGGAGAGNGGAAUUCCAUGUGUAGCGGUGAAAUGCGUAGAUAUAUGGAGGAACACCGGUGGCGAAAGCGGCUNUCUGGCUUGUAACUGACGCUGAGGCUCGAAAGCGUGGGGAGCAAACAGGAUUAGAUACCNUGGUAGUCCACGCCGUAAACGAUGAGUGCUAGGUGUUAGACCCUUUCCGGGGUUUAGUGCCGCAGCUAACGCAUUAAGCACUCCGCCUGGGGAGUACGACCGCAAGGUUGAAACUCAAAGGAAUUGACGGGGGCCCGCGCAAGCGGUGGAGCAUGUGGUUUAAUUNGAAGCAACGCGAAGAACCUUACCAGGUCUUGACAUCCCUCUGACCGCUCUAGAGAUAGAGUUUUCCUUCGGGACAGAGGUGACAGGUGGUGCAUGGUUGUCGUCAGCUCGUGUCGUGAGAUGUUGGGUUAAGUCCCGCAACGAGCGCGACCCCUAUUGUUAGUUGCCAUCAUUCAGUUGGGCACUCUAGCGAGACUGCCGGUAAUAAACCGGAGGAAGGUGGGGAUGACGUCAAAUCAUCAUGCCCCUUAUGACCUGGGCUACACACGUGCUACAAUGGCUGGUACAACGAGUCGCAAGCCGGUGACGGCAAGCUAAUCUCUUAAAGCCAGUCUCAGUUCGGAUUGUAGGCUGCAACUCGCCUACAUGAAGUCGGAAUCGCUAGUAAUCGCGGAUCAGCACGCCGCGGUGAAUACGUUCCCGGGCCUUGUNCACA
RNAcentral lists this ribosomal RNA (782 nucleotides) under uncultured bacterium. Its description in RNAcentral is "bacterial SSU rRNA". It matches the Rfam family "Bacterial small subunit ribosomal RNA", at positions 606 to 1389 of the family's 1533-position model. The record is from RNAcentral.